AUUGAACGCUGGCGGCAUGCCUUACACAUGCAAGUCGAACGGCAGCGGGGACUUCGGUCCGCCGGCGAGUGGCGGACGGGUGAGUAAAGCAUCGGAACGUACCCGGAAGUGGGGGAUAACGUAGCGAAAGUUACGCUAAUACCGCAUAUUCUGUGAGCAGGAAAGAGGGGGAUCUUCGGACCUCUUGCUUUCGGAGCGGCCGAUGUCAGAUUAGCUAGUUGGUGAGGUAAGGGCUCACCAAGGCGACGAUCUGUAGCGGGUCUGAGAGGAUGAUCCGCCACACUGGAACUGAGACACGGUCCAGACUCCUACGGGAGGCAGCAGUGGGGAAUUUUGGACAAUGGGCGCAAGCCUGAUCCAGCCAUGCCGCGUGAGUGAAGAAGGCCUUCGGGUUGUAAAGCUCUUUCGGCCGGGAAGAAAUCGCAUGGGUUAAUACCCUGUGCGGAUGACGGUACCGGCAUAAGAAGCACCGGCUAACUACGUGCCAGCAGCCGCGGUAA
RNAcentral lists this ribosomal RNA (500 nucleotides) under uncultured bacterium. RNAcentral describes it as "partial 16S ribosomal RNA". It matches the Rfam family "Bacterial small subunit ribosomal RNA", at positions 30 to 523 of the family's 1533-position model. The record is from RNAcentral.